This 783-nucleotide ribosomal RNA is filed under the name uncultured Bacteroides sp. RNAcentral's name for it is "bacterial SSU rRNA". It matches the Rfam family "Bacterial small subunit ribosomal RNA", at positions 420 to 1217 of the family's 1533-position model. The record is from RNAcentral. Lineage: Bacteria; Pseudomonadati; Bacteroidota; Bacteroidia; Bacteroidales; Bacteroidaceae.
GGAGCGUAAACUCCUUUUAUCAGGAAAGAAUAAUGACGGUACCUGAUGAAUAAGCACCGGCUAACUCCGUGCCAGCAGCCGCGGUAAUACGGGGGGUGCAAGCGUUACUCGGAAUCACUGGGCGUAAAGGACGCGUAGGCGGAUUAUCAAGUCUUUUGUGAAAUCUAGUGGCUUAACCACUAAACUGCUUAGGAAACUGAUAGUCUAGAGUAGGGGAGAGGUAGAUGGAAUUCUUGGUGUAGGGGUAAAAUCCGUAGAGAUCAAGAAGAAUACCCAUUGCGAAAGCGAUCUGCUGGAACCUAACUGACGCUGAGGCGUGAAAGCGUGGGUAGCAAACAGGAUUAGAUACCCUGGUAGUCCACGCCCUAAACGAUGUAUACUAGUUGUUGCUUUGCUAGUCAAGGCAGUAAUGCAGCUAACGCAUUAAGUAUACCGCCUGGGGAGUACGGUCGCAAGAUUAAAACUCAAAGGAAUAGACGGGGACCCGCACAAGCGGUGGAGCAUGUGGUUUAAUUCGAAGAUACGCGAAGAACCUUACCUGGACUUGACAUCCUAAAAACAUCUAAGAGAUUAGAAAGUGCUAGUUUACUAGAAUUUAGUGACAGGUGCUGCACGGCUGUCGUCAGCUCGUGUCGUGAGAUGUUGGGUUAAGUCCCGCAACGAGCGCAACCCACGUGUUUAGUUGCUAACAGCUCGGCUGAGCACUCUAAACAGACUGCCUUCGUAAGGAGGAGGAAGGUGUGGACGACGUCAAGUCAUCAUGGCCCUUAUGUCCAGGGCGAC